RNAcentral lists this long non-coding RNA (245 nucleotides) under Populus tremula. RNAcentral describes it as "long non-coding RNA (PTRE_LNC001023)". Lineage: Eukaryota; Viridiplantae; Streptophyta; Magnoliopsida; Malpighiales; Salicaceae. The record is from RNAcentral.
GAGGAGGAAGAGAAGAGAGAGUGUCCAACACAAGAAUCUGCAACAACAGCUGCUUCUCUCCUUGGGUGGUUUAGUGUGGAUGACCGGGAUUGUACGCUGAAAAGGAGGGUAGUGCGGGUUGUCACGAGGAAGGAGAUGUGCAGCUGCAUCGCCUUUAUCAGACUUGGAGGAGCCUCGGGGCACCAAUGGAACCGUGGGAGCCUGUGGUGCCUCAGCAUCAGGUUGUUGAUCAUCAUGGGCACGAC